UUGUAGGCUAGUUCCACUGCAGUACAUAUAAUGCAAGUAAUAUGUAAAUGGAUCCAUUGAAUCCUAAGUAGAGAGUAACUUGAGCUUGAAUCCUAAGUGGAGAGAGAGGAGGGGGAGAGAGAGAGAUAACUGACUCCAUGGUGAGCGGAGGCGCGGGAUUGACGGCAUAUGGGCAUGGGCGGUUCUGGACCAGGCGGCGGUUUCGCAUCGACGGCAAGGAGAAGAUUGCGGAGAUCGACGGCGGAAAGAAGAUUAUGGAGAUCGACGGCGUGGCUCGGAGCGGGGCGGCGGUUCUGGAAUGACGGCGGGGAGAAGAAGCGGGGUUCGACGGCGUGGCUCCGGGUGGGGGCGGAGGUUCUGUUUUGCGUUGAUAAAAGAGUUCUGAAUCUUCUGAUGUUGGAGAAAAAGCAGUUAUGGCAUGAUUAGU
This 427-nucleotide long non-coding RNA is filed under the name Salvia miltiorrhiza (redroot sage). Its description in RNAcentral is "long non-coding RNA (SMIL_LNC010581)". Lineage: Eukaryota; Viridiplantae; Streptophyta; Magnoliopsida; Lamiales; Lamiaceae. The record is from RNAcentral.